UACAGAGGGGGCAAGCGUUGUUCGGAAUUACUGGGCGUAAAGGGCGCGUAGGCGGCCUGCUAAGUCGAACGUGAAAUCCCUGGGCUCAACCCAGGAACUGCGUCCGAUACUGGUUGGCUUGAAUCCGGUAGAGGGAUGUGGAAUUCCAGGUGUAGCGGUGAAAUGCGUAGAUAUCUGGAGGAACACCGGUGGCGAAGGCGACAUCCUGGACCGGUAUUGACGCUGAGGCGCGAAAGCCAGGGGAGCAAACGGG
Molecule: ribosomal RNA, 253 nt
Filed under: uncultured bacterium
Lineage: Bacteria
Description: partial 16S ribosomal RNA
Rfam family: Bacterial small subunit ribosomal RNA
Source: RNAcentral